Molecule: ribosomal RNA, 1234 nt
Filed under: metagenome
Description: SSU rRNA
Rfam family: Eukaryotic small subunit ribosomal RNA
Source: RNAcentral
AGUCUGGUGCCAGCAGCCGCGGUAACACCAGCUCCAAUAGCGUAUAUUAAAGUUGUUGCAGUUAAAAAGCUCGUAGUUGGAUUUCUGUCCUUGAGAAACCCUGUCCAUUUCUUUCCAGAUUUGUUGACGGGCGCUUUUCGGUCAUCCUUCGUGGAGAACAACUUGGCUCUUUAUUGAGUCCGAGUUGCAAUCCCGAUCAAUUACUUUGAAAAAAUUAGAGUGUUCAAAGCAGGCUUACGCUGUGAAUACAUUAGCAUGGAAUAAUAAGAUAGGACUUUGGUCCUAUUUUGUUGGUUUCUAGGACUAAAGUAAUGAUUGAUAGGGAUAGUUGGGGGUGCUAGUAUUCAACGGCCAGAGGUGAAAUUCGGUGAUUCGUUGAAGACUAACUCAUGCGAAAGCAUUCACCAAGGAUGUCUUCUUUAAUCAAGAACGAAAGUUGGGGGAUCGAAGACGAUCAGAUACCGUCGUAGUCUCAACCAUAAACUAUGCCGACUAGGGAUUGGCGGACGUUGUAUUUUUUGACUCCGUCAGCACCUUAUGAGAAAUCAAAGUCUUUGGGUUCCGGGGGGAGUAUGGUCGCAAGGCUGAAACUUAAAGGAAUUGACGGAAGGGCACCACCAGGAGUGGAGCCUGCGGCUUAAUUUGACCCAACACGGGAAAACUUACCAGGUCCAGACAUAGUGAGGAUUGACAGAUUGAAGAUCUUUCUUGAUUCUAUGGGUGGUGGUGCAUGGCCGUUCUUAGUUGGUGGAGUGAUUUGUCUGGUUAAUUCCGAUAACGAACGAGACCUCAGCCUACUAAAUAGUUGUGCGAAUUCUUUUUUGACUUCGUGAUCAACUUCUUAGAGGGACAUUUGGAUUUCAGCCAAAGGAAGUUUGAGGCAAUAACAGGUCUGUGAUGCCCUUAGAUGUUCUGGGCUGCACGCGCGCUACACUGGCACGUUCAACGAGCUUACAACCUUGACCGGUAGGUCUGGGUAAUCUUUGAAAGCGUGCCGUGAUGGGGCUAGAUUAUUGUAAUUAUUAAUCUUAAACGAGGAAUUCCUAGUAAGCGCAAGUCAUCAGCUUGCAUUGAUUACGUCCCUGCCCUUUGUACACACCGCCCGUCGCUCCUACCGAUUGAAUGAUCCGGUGAAAUCUCAGGACUGGGACUUGAAGAACAAUUUUGUUCAUUUCUUGUCUUGGGAAUUUGAUUAAACCUUAUCAUUUAGAGGAAGGAGAAGUCGUAACAAGGU